This 554-nucleotide long non-coding RNA is filed under the name Oryza brachyantha (malo sina). RNAcentral describes it as "long non-coding RNA (OBRA_LNC001194)". The record is from RNAcentral. Lineage: Eukaryota; Viridiplantae; Streptophyta; Magnoliopsida; Poales; Poaceae.
ACUUACUUUUGGUUUAUGAGCAACUGUUAUCUGCUGAGUUGACACCCCCAUGGUAUGCGGAUAUUUUCCAUUAUUUGGUCACUAAUGAGCUACCUGCAGGUUUGUCAAAGGCUAGAAGGGAAAAGGGUGAAGCCCAUUACUCUGUAUGGGAUGAUCCUUACCUUUGGUGGCAUUGUGCGGAUCAGGUGAGAAGAAAGAACUUCCGAUAAUGAAAGAAAGGCCUUUUAGCAGGCAACUGAUCAAAAGCUAUUCCUCUUAGCCCUAGUAGCCCUAGCUAUCUAAUGCAUACUUUCCAACUGGCCCUGGCCUAUAACGGCAAAUCACUGGCACAUGACUUGAAAUUGAGUUAGUUAGAGAGCAUUAAUUACAUCACAAAUUCCACCUAGGGAUUCCUCUAAAAAAAAGAGUAAUCUUUUUCUUUAUGUAACUAGAGAUGUAGCGACGAGCCAGCUUGGAUGUGACGAGCAAGUAUUUCUAAUUACGCAUGAAAGCUAGUGUACAGAAAUAUCCCGGGGCAAAAGGAAAAGAAUAAGUAUGCUUCACCUAUCUUUCAA